Pollicipes pollicipes is the source of this 1016-nucleotide long non-coding RNA. RefSeq lists it as uncharacterized. The transcript is spliced from 3 exons. Lineage: Eukaryota; Metazoa; Arthropoda; Thecostraca; Pollicipedomorpha; Pollicipedidae. The record is from RefSeq and is a predicted model, not a curated record.
GACAUCGACCAGGUGACGUUCGUCGACAGCGAGCGCGUCAGCUCCGACCAGGUGGCGUUGCCGCCGCGCCAGCGCCGCCGACGGCGACGGCGCUACCGACGGCAGAUCGCGGCGCGCGUGCCGCUGCUGAACGCCUGCCAGCCGGGCGCGCGGCGAGACGUCAACUUCAAGUGCCGCGACAAGGUGCUGCCGGAGUCGACGGGCGCGGCGCCGCGCAGUCCCGUGUCGCCGAGGGGCGCGCCCACAUGCCCGCCGGGUCAAAAGCUGGAUCCUCUGGGGAGGUGCAAGCAGGCAUCUGGCUCCGGCCUGGGCAAGUAAGCUGACCCGGAGUUCACCGUCACGCGCUGCCAGAGCAAAUCAGCGCACGCGGACAAAACGCCGAGAGCUUCACGGAAGCACGGGCCGACGCCCGCGAUACGCCGGGGAAUCGUGAUUGACCAGACGGAGAACAUGCGUCGGGCACUCUUGAGAGUGAGCCAACGUGGACCACACGCUGGGCACUCCACGGGCAGUGAGCCGACGUGGACUGGACCUUGGGCACCGCUGGUAGAGUGAGUCAACGUGAACUGCGCGCUGGGCACUCGCUCAGCAAUCUUAGUGAAGUGGAUAGUGCGCGAACUAUUGAUUACCGAGACGGGCCACAGGUGUCGGGACAACGCCCACCAGCAGCGGUCAGAGGACGCGCCAUCGCGAUCCUGCCGAGUGCGUGGCGUACCUAGCAGGGUAUUGAGUGACGGCACCUCUCGCGCCUGGCCAGUUGGAUUAGCCGUGUGUGUUGUGGUUGACGCCCAGCUGCCGCCGCCGUGGGUGGCGCCAGUCUGUGAGCGACUCUGCCGCCGCCGUGGGCAGCCCCAGCUUGUGAGCCGAGUCUGCCGCCGCCGUGGGCAGCCCCAGCUUGUGAGCCCGAGUCUGCCGCCCGCCGUGGGCAGCCCCAGCUAGUGAGGCCGAGUCUGCCGCCGCCGUGGGCAGCCCCAGCUUGUGAGCCGAGUCUGCCGCCGCCGUGGGCAGCCCCAGCU